Molecule: long non-coding RNA, 616 nt
Organism: Amphibalanus amphitrite
Lineage: Eukaryota; Metazoa; Arthropoda; Thecostraca; Balanomorpha; Balanidae
Exons: 2
Source: RefSeq, a predicted model, not a curated record
UCCUUUUUCUGUUAUGUUUGAAAGUGAACGAGCGACGGGUAUUAUUGAGCCUCCGUCGGCCGUCCUGUCCUUCCCCUCCCCUUUUCACUCACACCGAGGUGCUAAUGGCUCACUCCGGCCAGGGCUCGGCCCCGCGGUGGAAAGGGUCCGAUCACCGGGCGGAUUGGACCCGAGGGAGAUCAUUCUGUCUCUGAUCGUCGUGUCGUCAACAUCCCCCGAAAAAGGCUACAACAUGUUCCGUCAGAGCACCCCGCUUCCGCCAACUGAAUCUCCAUCUCCGGCGCCGGCAGCAACAGUGUCCGCUUCUUCCGAGUCCACGACAGCAGAAUCGCCAUCCCCCGGGCUGUCGGAAAAGGACACCCUUGAGAGCCUGAAUCGGGAGAUUCGCCAACUUCGGGCGGAGAAGGCUAGAGCUCAGAAGGAGAUAUCUCGAUUGCGCUCGGAGGCUACAGUCAUCAGACAAGGGUUCCUCGUGUUGGCGGCUGAUAUGCCCAAUCCGCGGCCGGAGGUCCGGGCCUAUUUACGAUGGGUCUUACUAGGGGGCAUCUGCCCGCCGCUCCAUUGGUCAGAAGAGUAGCAGCUGAAUACACGCCCACGCUUGGGCUCCGGUUUAAGA